AGAAAUGUCUGCCCCGAGGAAGAGGCAGACAGCACAUCAGCUCUCUAAACACAGGAUUCGCAACCUUGGCUGACUUCGGAAUUCCCCCAAUGCAGAAAGCUCGGCCCAACCCACAUCCAGUCAUCAACAAAUAGAAAGCAUUUUGCCAUACUUCUUGUUUAUCUGAAGAAACAAGGACAGCGAAUUAUUCCAGGAACCGCUGGAAUUGCCAGGAGCCUACACCGGACGGAAGCUGCACUCAGAGCAAAGGGGUCCAUCACCCCGACUGGCUAUCAGCUGUUCUUUGCUAUCACCGGCGACUCCCAUACAUGUGACACUUGCCCAUGAGUUUAUCCAAUGGUUAUGAGCAAACCCCAAAAUAGGAUAAGCCCGAAAGAAACCCGCACCAAAACACAACAUAAUUACACUGCUAACAGCCAUGGACAAAGAAAAAAGAUCUUGAAAUCAGAGAAAAAUGACACCUUAUUUAUAGAGAAAAGUAAUUAGAAUAACAGUGGAUUUCCUGUCACAAAUAACAAAGGCCAUUAAUGCUGCUUUUCAAAAUCUGAAAGAAAAGAACUGUCAUCUAGAAUCUUAAACUCAGAGAAAACAGUGCCGCUAAACUGGACUCAAUCAUAAUUUAAAACUUCUGUUCUGUGAAGGGCCCUAUUGUGGGCACGAACAGACAAACCUGUUUGUAAAACACAUUCGACAAAGAACCAGGAUCAAAAACAUAUAAAUAACUCAAGAUUUGAGUUAAAAAAAUAUAAUUAGGAUCUGGGCAAAACACAUGGAGAGACGUUUCACCAAAGAAGGUAUUCAGAUGGCAAAUAAGCCCAUGAAAAGAUGUUCAAAACCAUUAGUCGUUAGGAAAUGUCAGUUAAAACCACAAUAAAUGCCUGUACGCACCCAUCAAAACGUCUAAAAUAAAAAAUAGUGCCAACACCAAAUGCUGGUGAGGCUGUGGGGAGACUGGAUCGCUCACACACUGCUGCUGAGAAUAUAAAAUGGCACAGACGCUCUGCAAAAUGGUUUGGCUUAAAGAGGAGGGGGCAGCAGAGAAGUGGGCGCCGUGGUGGCGAGGGAAGGUUGAGGGGGGGGCUGUUGACCUCCCCAGUGUCCAGGUCCUGGCUGUGGUGGUGUCCUGCAGUUUUACAAGACGUCACCGCUGAGGAAAAUGGGGUAAAGGGUAUGUGGGAUCUCUCUGUAUUAUCUUUUACAACGGCAUGUGCAUCUGCACUUAUCUCAAAACAAAAAUUAUUUAAAAAUAACUUUGUCCUUGAAAUGCCAGGACUGUGUAAUAUGUCUUAUAACUCCAUGUGAAUCUGCAAUGAUCUCAAAAUAAAAUUUAACUUAAAAAGAAGUUUGUCCUUGAAAUGCCAGGGAAUGGUACUGUUGAAACAGUUUCUGUGAUUAAAAAGGUUUGGCAGACGCUGGAAUAAACAAAACGUAUCAGGCUUCUUUACCAGGAGACUCCUCAGAGCCCGGCAUUUGUGCCUGCCAUAAGCAAUGCAGCCCGCUGGCAGAAGACUUCCCAGUACGGCUGGCGUGAGGGC
Molecule: long non-coding RNA, 1535 nt
Organism: Phyllostomus hastatus (greater spear-nosed bat)
Lineage: Eukaryota; Metazoa; Chordata; Mammalia; Chiroptera; Phyllostomidae
Exons: 3
Source: RefSeq, a predicted model, not a curated record